Prionailurus viverrinus (fishing cat) is the source of this 2717-nucleotide long non-coding RNA. RefSeq lists it as uncharacterized. The record is from RefSeq and is a predicted model, not a curated record. The transcript has 6 exons. NCBI's taxonomy places the organism in Eukaryota, Metazoa, Chordata, Mammalia, Carnivora, Felidae.
CACACACAUGUGCACACACCCCCCACCCGCCUGCACCUGCUGUCAGACGGAGGGCAGAAGCCACCGGAGACGGAGGGCCCCGGGGGCCUGGGCGCUGAGGCAGGAAACGGGGUGCCGCUGCACCCGUGGCCUCCCCAGAAGCCGAUUCUCCCACAUACAGUGUUCUUUGUUUUCAUUAGGGAGAAUCUCACUUAAAAUAAUUACAGCUACAACAACAACAACAAAAAAAUCACAGAAGAGAGAAAAAACGGAGUUCAGUUAAAUGCAGAUUUAUUCAGGAUGAUGUUAUGAACUCUGCUCAACGCCUCUAAAAGUACCCAUUAAUGACUACACACUAAUUACCCACCUUUGUAUUGUUCUAGAAAGGAAGAGAUUCAUUCUCCCUGGAGCGGAAUAGGUAUCCGGUGAGAGGAUGCCCCGCGCGUGCUUUAGGGCGGACCAAAACAGCCCUCCUUUUUGGCAAAAUCAUGAAGAGGCCGGGACGGCUCCACAGAGCUUUGCCCUAAAACGCCACCUCGAAAAUGAACGCUCUUUUCCCUUCUGGAGGUUUUCCCUGCCUUCAUCAGAACAGGGUCUGGAAAGCCCCAGCGUUCAAGAUUUCCGUCCCUGCCAGGAAUGAAGAAGACCGUCUCGUGGCCUGGGAAAUGGGGGUCGGGUGUUCGAGGAGCACCCGAGUCCCUGGAAGACCGGGGGGUCGUCCCCAGCAGGCAGAUUAUUCCACUUGGCACCCCAGUGGCCAUGACGGCCCUACCGCGUCUUGGCCGAAGCCUCGAGGUCUUCUGACCCAGACACGUACCAUUUUCCUUGCGCCCUGGCCGACGAUCGCCGGCCGCCAGGGAGAGUUAGAACACCUGAGACGUGAGAUUUUUAAGUUUAUUGCAUUUGGGGGGUUUAUUCAUUCCUUCAGCUGCUAGCGUGCAUUUCCGGAGCAUCUCGCAGGUGAGGGCGCCGUGCGUGGCACGGGGCGAGGACCAGGGAAGGAACACGCGCGGGGCCGGCGGCUUUGGGGAACUUGGAGCCUGGCGGGGAGCUCACCACAGCGCAGUCACCUCAUUCUGGCUCUGCUGGGAGGGAGGCCGUGUGUCUGCUGGUGGGUCAUUCCAUCGGAGUCCUCCAAGAUCCAGGAGGGGACGGAGACCUGACUGUUCGGUCCCAAGAGCCAGGAGGCACUCAAUGGCAGGUGCACGCACGAGCACGCAACAUGGAGAGAGCAGGACAUCUGGGAGUCACAUGGUCUCUGUGCCCAGGAAGUCACCCAGGAGGCAGCCCGGGAUUAGGGCACGGCCCCGCCUCCUGACACCAUCCCCCUGGGGCUGGAGGAGACAACAACUCGGGUCAAUGACAUCGUCUUCCUACUUCACUGCUGUCCUGAUGUCCCCGGAGGAUGUGCACCUGGUGUGGAGCUGGACGGGGCUCAGAAUUCCCGAAAGCCUGCCCUUUGUCAUCCUGGUGAAGUCUGUCUCGGGACUCGGGACUCGGGCGUCCCAGAGCUGAGAACUGGGCGGAGCUCUGGUCCCGCCACCCCACCCCCGUGACCCACACCCGCGAUUCGCUCCCUGUGCUUUUCGCCACUGGUAUCAGUUCAGGCCUCCCCACCUCCCCUCGAUGGUGGCCCUGCCUCCCGGCUGGUCGCCUGGCUUUCCAUCCCGCCUGCGUCCGCCACGUGCCAGUGUGACUGAGCUCUCCCCGCCGCGCACAGGCCAAGAGCACCCUCCUUGAAGGGCACCCUCCCCAUCUUGCCCCGCCCACCUCCCUCCCUUCCCCAUCAGGGCUCUGCACUGGGCACGGCUCACCUACCUGUGGUUCUCAUACCCACGACCCCGCUCCGUGAGCACCUUCUCCUCCGCCCAGAGAGCCCGUUUCCAUCCCUGGUGUGUUUGGGGGGGGGGGUUGCGGGGGGGGCGCGCUUCCCUCCCGAACCCGCCUCUGACCCGAGGACCCCCUCUCUUGAAGCCUGAGUCUCCCUGCCUGCUUUUCCAUUUCUUCCCUCAAAGCUCCGGUUAUGAGGGAGGUGAACACCCAAGAGGUGGUUUUUGCUCUGUAGAAGAGAUGUGUUCCAACCAAGUUGGCUGAUAAGUGAUUUUCUGCAAGCAAAGUGAUUGGACGGGUGUUCCCAUGGCAACCGAGACCUUCCUGGAAACGUCUGGAGGGGGUACAGGAGGAGAGGGGCCGGCUCUGGAUCUGCUGGGCCGGCCAGGCGGGAAGGCGGUGCCGCCUGGAGAUCCCCCCCCCACCGCCCUGACUCUGGGUCCUCCCUCUCUCUCUGUCCCCUCCUGUUCCUCGGGCCACAGAGAUCAUUUCACGCUGGAACGCGUCCUGAGCGACACUCACCGUUCCCGGGAUCUGUCCUCUGUCUCUCUGUCUCUCUGUCUCUCCAUUAACAGAAACUGUGCUUUCCGACACCGUGAUGUUUUACAACGCAGCCGGUGACAAUUUACAAACCGCGAGCGCUGCCAUGGGAUGCUCUGAAAACGCCCUUUGGAGGCGGAUGAUGUACACAUCCCAUUUCACAGAUGUGGGGACUGAGGCCGGCACCGGAGAAGGGACUGGCGGUGCAGAGAGGCCAGAGGAAAACACUUAGGUCUAUUGUACGAAGACCCAAGAGUCAUUGCUUAGAGAAAAGCCAGAAAAGUCGGGAAUCUGGAGCCUUGCCUCCGGGAGUUCCUCACGCUUUGGAAAAGGAUUCGCAACCUACUGUGUGUUUGGCAGUAAAAUUU